Molecule: long non-coding RNA, 596 nt
Organism: Brassica oleracea var. oleracea
Lineage: Eukaryota; Viridiplantae; Streptophyta; Magnoliopsida; Brassicales; Brassicaceae
Exons: 3
Source: RefSeq, a predicted model, not a curated record
GUUUGAAACAUAGGAGCUAUACGAGUUUCUUGAUCUUCAGCUUCAUAGUGACUUGAAUGAGGAAAUGAUGAGGCACUAUGAGAUGGUUUACUUAAUUCGUGAAAAACAUAAUGAAGAGGCCAAAAGCGUCAAUGAGAAAGUCCAAGAAUUUCUGAAGGAGAAGAAAUAAAAAGUUUGGAGGUUUAGUGACUGAGGGAUGAGUAGACUGGCAUAUAAGAUCUACAAGGCAGAGAAUGCACACUACACAUAUUGAUGAACUUUGAGAUAGAAGCCAAACACCUAAACGAAUUCAAGGAAAUGUUAGAUGGUGUGAAAAGGUGAUUAGACAACUCAUGAUGAAAUGCGAUGAGGCCAUUAUAAAAGACUGCCCUCUAUCUCUCAAGUUUCACUAUGUUUGGGCAAGUAUGAAUGAUGAUGAUGAGGAAGGCGAAGAUGAGUAUGAAGUAGAUGAAGAUGGUAAUGUCGUUAUGGUGGUGUAUGAAAAUGAAGAAGGAGAAGAAGAUGGGGCUGAUGAGCUGGAACAAGGACAUGACCAAUCAAAUAACGCCAUAAGAGAAAAUCGGACAAUAGCUAACGUAGGAGGAGGUUAGAGCUGU